This 750-nucleotide ribosomal RNA is filed under the name uncultured bacterium. Its description in RNAcentral is "bacterial SSU rRNA". It matches the Rfam family "Bacterial small subunit ribosomal RNA", at positions 61 to 808 of the family's 1533-position model. The record is from RNAcentral.
GUCGAGGGAGAUUGUUGGAUUCGUCUGACAUGAAACCGGCGCACGGGUGCGUAACACGUAUGCAACCUACCUUUAACUGGGGUAUAGCUCAGAGAAAUCUGAAUUAAUCCCCCAUAAGACUACGACAUGGCAUCAUGAUGUAGUUAAAGCUCCGGCGGUUAAGGGUGGGCAUGCGGUACAUUAGCUAGUUGGUGAGGUAAUGGCUCACCAAGGCUACGAUGUAUAGGGGGUCUGAGAGGAUGAUCCCCCACACUGGUACUGAGACACGGACCAGACUCCUACGGGAGGCAGCAGUAGGGAAUAUUGGUCAAUGGACGCAAGUCUGAACCAGCCAUGCCGCGUGAAGGAUGAAGGCCCUAUGGGUCGUAAACUUCUUUUAUUAGGGAAGAAAAAAUGGGAUGCGUCCUAUACUGACGGUACUUAAUGAAUAAGGAUCGACUAACUUCGUGCCAGCAGCCGCGGUAAGACGAGGGAUCCAAGCGUUGUCCGGAUUUACUGGGUUUAAAGGGUGCGUAGGCGGAAAAUUAAGUCAGUGGUGAAAGCCCGCAGCUCAACUGUGGAACUGCCAUUGAAACUGGUUUUCUUGAAUAUAGCUGAGGCAGAUGGAAUAUAACAUGUAGCGGUGAAAUGCUUAGAUAUGUUAUAGAACACCGAUUGCGAAGGCAGUCUGCUAAACUAUUAUUGACGCUGAGGCACGAAAGCGUGGGGAGCGAACAGGAUUAGAUACCCUGGUAGUCCACGCCCUAAACG